GUUUCCUUGUUAGGCAAUACUCACCAGAACUAGCUUUGGUGCAGGCAAAGGGCUGAGAAUGACAGUACAGUUGUGGAUGCCCCCGAAAAAGCUGAAAAAUUUGCUCAGAGGUACACAGCAAUUCUUGAAGACAUAAAGAAGGAUCCUGAGAGUCAUGGUGGCCCCCCAGAUGGCAUUCUUCUUUGCAGGCUUCGUGAGCAGGUCCUUAGAGAACUAGGUUUCAGAGACAUAUUUAAAAAGGUUAAGGAUGAGGAGAAUGCUAAAGCUAUUGCACUCUUUGAGGGAGUUGUUCAACUUAAUGAUGCUAUUGAAGAUGAUGGCGAGCGUGUUGAGAACUUGAUUAAGGGUAUUUUGGCGGGCAAUAUAUUUGAUUUGGGAUCUGCACAGCUUGCAGAAGUUUUUGCUAGGGUUGGCAUGUCUUUUAUGACAACUUGUCAAAAUCUUGUCUCCCGACCUUGGGUAAUUGAUGAUUUGGACACAUUCAAGACGAAAUGGAUUAAAAAGUCA
Long non-coding RNA from Asparagus officinalis (garden asparagus), 507 nucleotides. RefSeq lists it as uncharacterized. The record is from RefSeq and is a predicted model, not a curated record. NCBI's taxonomy places the organism in Eukaryota, Viridiplantae, Streptophyta, Magnoliopsida, Asparagales, Asparagaceae. The transcript is spliced from 5 exons.